This is a long non-coding RNA of Vicia villosa (hairy vetch), 1545 nucleotides long. RefSeq lists it as uncharacterized. The record is from RefSeq and is a predicted model, not a curated record. Lineage: Eukaryota; Viridiplantae; Streptophyta; Magnoliopsida; Fabales; Fabaceae. The transcript has 2 exons.
UAUGUUAUUAGUCCCUAUAAAUAUUUCAAUUUUGACUUUUAGUCUCUAUUAAAAAUAUUGAUUUUUAGUUUCUAUAGAAUUACUUUUACACGCAACUUUAGUCUCUGUAAAGAAUUAAAACCGCGUACAAAAAUAAUUUUAUAAAAAUUAAAAAUUAAUAUUUUUUUAUAAGGAUUAAAAGUCAAAUGUGAUAAUUUUAUAAUAUUUAAUCUUUCAUUAAUUAUGAUUUUCCCACAUGACUAAGUUAUAUCCAUAUUAUUUAGGAUGAAAGACUAAGAUAUCUUUUCUUAAUUGUGUGGGGAAAUCUAAGGCACACGUAAAUUUUGGCCUAGGAAAUAUCUUACUAAAUUUUUAAUCAGUUGAGUUAUGGUAAAAGUCUCUCAAGCGUGAGAAGGUAACAAUGAAUUAUAGGGUGAAUUAAAAUAAUUAUUUUCUAUUAUUUCUACUAUCUCUCUCUAACAAUUUUGUUAAAACUUAUUUUUAUAUUAAACCAACGAUUAAAAAUGUUAAAAAUAAUUUCAACACAAUUCAAACCAUUUUUGGUCACAUCUUUAAUAUGUAUCAUCAUUUAUUCUCUCCAUCUCGAAGGAGAAACAAUUCUUAUAUGGACACAACCAUAUACAUAGAUUUACACACAACCAAUUAUAUUUUUUAUUAAUUAAAAAACUAAAAUAAAAUUAUUUCUCUCUAUUAAACUAACCACCCUCUAUGAUAGUAAUUAAAAACGGAAAUAAUUUUUUUUAAUAAAUAUCAAUUUUCUCACUUUUAAUUAGUUAUGCCUAAAAAUAUGGAUUUAGGUUCGUAUCCAUGCAAGUAUUUUUCAUUGAAGAAGUGUGUUGAAAUUUUAAUAUAAUAUGAUUAAUUAGGAUCCUUGGAAAUUAUGAAGGUAUUGCAAUCUAAUUUUAAUUAUACCUCUCAAAAUUUGCUUGUUUCAAACGUUUCGUUUAUAAUAAAGAUGUUUAUAUUCUGAAGUAAGAAAAAACUCAAGUUCAACCUUUGGUGCAUGUGUAGUAAAUUAUGUAAUUUUAAAAUAGAACAAACAAUUUCUUGUGCGUGUGAAAAUAUAGAAAUUAAGAGUUUAAUUAUAACAAGGAAUAAGAGAGAAACUUGAAAUAAUGUAUUCCUGAAAUAUUAGAAUGAAUUCUAACAACCAUCAAGAGACAUUUGAAGAAAUGUAAUUUUUCACAGUAUAAAAUAAAUAUAUAAAUGUAUACUUCAAAAUGCAUAAGAUCAGAGAACAUAUGGCACAAAUUCUUAAGUUUGUUAGUGUCAUAAUUAUUUUUCUUUUCGAAUUCGUUGUUGUAAUGGAUGGUAUCAUUGUAACAGAUGGAGCUGUUAAAUGCUGGUCUGAUGGAGAAUGUCGUAAAGCAAUGCCGGAUUGCACUCUUCCUAAACGUCCAAGGUGUAUAUCAGGGAUAUGUCAUUGUGUGUCAUAGUAGGAAUAAAGUUCAAAAAUAAUUUCAUGUAUUUGCAACUCUAAUAUUGAUGCUUUUUAAUUCUCUCAAAGUUCAAUCUAUUUCUAUUUUAUCUGAACCUUAAAAUAAA